GAUGAACGCUGGCGGCGUGCCUAAUACAUGCAAGUCGAGCGAAAAGACGAGGAGCUUGCUCCUCUGUCGUUAGCGGCGGACGGGUGAGUAACACGUGGAUAACCUCCCUAUAUGACUGGGAUAACUUCGGGAAUCCGGCGCUAAUCCCGGAUAAUCUCUUGAACCGCAUGGUUCAAUAGUGAAAGACGGUUUUGCUGUCACUUCUCGCUGGUUCCGCGCCGCAUUAGCUAGUUGGUAAGGUCACGGCUUACCACGGCAACGAGGCGUAGACGAACUGAGAGGGGGAUCGGCCGCAUUGGAAGUUGGACAGGGUCAAUGCGCCUACGGGAGGCAGCAGAAUGGAAUCGGCCGCAAUAGGCGGAAGCAUGACGGAGCGGCGCCGAGUGUGUUAUGAAGGUCUUCGGAGCGUAAAACUGGGUUAUGAGGGAAGAACAAAUGUGGAAGGAACUAUACACGGCGUGACGGUACCGAGUCAGAAAGCAACGGCUAACUACGUG
This 497-nucleotide ribosomal RNA is filed under the name uncultured bacterium. RNAcentral's name for it is "partial 16S ribosomal RNA". It matches the Rfam family "Bacterial small subunit ribosomal RNA", at positions 28 to 507 of the family's 1533-position model. The record is from RNAcentral.